UACGUAGGGUGCAAGCGUUAAUCGGAAUUACUGGGCGUAAAGCGUGCGCAGGCGGUUGUGCAAGUCUGAUGUGAAAGCCCCGGGCUCAACCUGGGAACGGCAUUGGAGACUGCACGGCUAGAGUACGUCAGAGGGGGGUAGAAUUCCACGUGUAGCAGUGAAAUGCGUAGAGAUGUGGAGGAAUACCGAUGGCGAAGGCAGCCCCCUGGGAUGAUACUGACGCUCAUGCACGAAAGCGUGGGGAGCAAACAGGAUUAGAUACCCUGGCAGUCCACGCCCUAAACGAUGUCAAUUAGCUGUUGGGGGUUUGAAUCCUUGGUAGCGUAGCUAACGCGUGAAAUUGACCGCCUGGGGAGUACGGCCGCAAGGUUAAAACUCAAAG
This 382-nucleotide ribosomal RNA is filed under the name uncultured bacterium. Its description in RNAcentral is "bacterial SSU rRNA". It matches the Rfam family "Bacterial small subunit ribosomal RNA", at positions 524 to 906 of the family's 1533-position model. The record is from RNAcentral.